GGGCGCAUAGCUCAGUUGGUUAGAGCGCCUGCCUUACAAGCAGGAUGUCAGGGGUUCGAGUCCCUUUGCGCCCA
This 74-nucleotide transfer RNA is filed under the name Nocardioides lacus. Its description in RNAcentral is "Nocardioides sp. BP30 tRNA-Val". It matches the Rfam family "tRNA". From Rfam's summary of the family: Transfer RNA (tRNA) molecules are approximately 80 nucleotides in length. Lineage: Bacteria; Bacillati; Actinomycetota; Actinomycetes; Propionibacteriales; Nocardioidaceae. The record is from RNAcentral.